This 289-nucleotide ribosomal RNA is filed under the name uncultured bacterium. Its description in RNAcentral is "partial 16S ribosomal RNA". It matches the Rfam family "Bacterial small subunit ribosomal RNA", at positions 775 to 1067 of the family's 1533-position model. The record is from RNAcentral.
GGAUUAGAUACCCUGGUAGUCCACGCUGUAAACGAUGAUCACUCACUGUUGGCGAUACACUGUCAGCGGUCAAGCGAAAGUAUUAAGUGAUCCACCUGGGGAGUACGAUCGCAAGGUUGAAACUCAAAGGAAUUGACGGGGGCCCGCACAAGCGGUGGAGCAUGUGGUUUAAUUCGAUGAUACGCGAGGAACCUUACCAAGGCUUAAAUGCAAAAUGACUUUUAGGGAAACCUAAAUUUUCUUAGGAACAGAUUGCAAGGUGCUGCAUGGUUGUCGUCAGCUCGUGCCG